CACAAAGAUGUUUCAAGGUCUUCCCAGAAGCAAGCUAUAGAGGUGGGCUCCUUCUGUCCACGAGAGUCUCUCUUCGAGAGGAGUGGCACAGCAACAAAAGUCGAAGGUUACAUUCAAACUGCCAAGAUUCCCCCAGGACUGAAAUGGAGGUCAUCCCUUAAACCCCCAAAUCCCAGGGAAGAAAAUGUGAUCCUAAAUAUGGAGAUCCUAUCAACAUUCCAUUUAGCAUUUCCACAAGCCCAGAGUUGAGACCAGCAGGCACAGGCAGGCUGCGCAUCGUCCGACAGAAUAAUAAACCUCAAGAUGGUAUCUCGAAGCAUCUCCACCACACC
RNAcentral lists this long non-coding RNA (332 nucleotides) under Equus caballus (horse). RNAcentral's name for it is "lncRNA (ENSECAG00000042510.2)". Lineage: Eukaryota; Metazoa; Chordata; Mammalia; Perissodactyla; Equidae. The record is from RNAcentral.